Molecule: long non-coding RNA, 418 nt
Organism: Neofelis nebulosa (Clouded leopard)
Lineage: Eukaryota; Metazoa; Chordata; Mammalia; Carnivora; Felidae
Exons: 2
Source: RefSeq, a predicted model, not a curated record
ACAGCAUCAGCCAGAUGGAAGAGAUACAUAUGGCAAGAUGUGUGGGAAGGAGAGCAAAGCUUUCAUGCUCUCUGAGGAUACAACUCUCCCCAAAUCUCCAUGUAUUCACCAACCUCGAAGCUCUCUGAAUCCUGUCCUUUGACAUUUGGAGAAGGCUCCAUUACAUAGAUGGCCAACAGACACAUGUGAAGAUGCUCAACAUCACUCAUCAUCAGGGAAAUGCAAAUCGACACCACAAUGAAAUAUCAGCUAAAACCUGUCAGAAUGGCUAGAAUCAAAAAGGCAAGAAAUAAUAAGUGUUGGCAAGGAUGUGGAGGAAAAGGAAUUCUUGGGCACUGUUGGUGAGAAGGUAAAUUGAUACAGCCAAUGUAAAAAUGGUAAGGAGGUUUCUCAAAAAAUUAAAAAUAUAAAUACCUUA